RNAcentral lists this long non-coding RNA (499 nucleotides) under Malus domestica (apple). Its description in RNAcentral is "long non-coding RNA (MDOM_LNC020334)". Lineage: Eukaryota; Viridiplantae; Streptophyta; Magnoliopsida; Rosales; Rosaceae. The record is from RNAcentral.
CACAUAUUCCACAUAACAAAUAUAAUUGCGUAAUGCGUGAAACAAAUAUAUUAACAUAUACAAUAUGACACACCUCGAUCGAGAUCAAGGCAUCCUGGCCGUCACGUGAGAGUGACGUAGCCAUGUGCACAGUGCGGAAGCAAUAAUGAUAAGAAAUAUAUGAAUAAUUAAAAACCGAACUACUAUAGUGCACUACUAAACAAUCAGAGCAUAGAAAGUCUAGGUGCAGUCCAGUAGGACAAGUACUAAUUAUACAGUACCAUAAGAUGUCCUACAAUUAUUUUGAUAGGUCAGAACCGCCGAAAUCCUCAAGGCCACCGACAUCAAGCUUACCUAAAACCUGGAGGGGUGCAAAACAGAAAACGUGAGUGGGCAAAAAUAAAUGUUUUACAAAACCAUUUCAUUUAUCAACAUAUCUAACCCCUCACUGUAAACAUGUAUAAUUUUUCCCAGAAUCAAGAUAUAAGCAUAUACAUAAAUAUACAUGAAAUAUAUCCAC